GCAGCAUUCAAAAAAUAUUUAUAUACAACUUGAUUUUACGUUUCUAUUGUUGAUUUUUUUUUUGCAAAGGUCUUGUCUAUCAAUUCAUGAAUUACAAUUUGAAUCCCUUCCCCACUGCCUGAUGAUAUUUAUUACUUCUUGGUGUACUUAUAUGUCAAGGCACAUAUUGUCAGAGGUCAAUCAAACUGAACUAAAAAAGACUUUUAUGAUAUUAUAGUUUAUUUGUAAGUUCACUGAACAUUUCCUGUUCUGGUAAACUGUAAUAUAGUAAUAACAUUGGCAUGAAAAUAUAUGAUAAGCUAAUGGAAUGUAGAUAUACAAUGUAACAUAUCAAUGUAAACAUUGUCAACACAUUGUUUGGAUAAAAUUUUGUCACCUAUGAAAAUAAGUUGAAAGCAUAAUAACAAAGUGCUUGUACCAAGUAUCCUGUAUUGGACUCAUGGUACCAAUUUUUACAUCACAAGUUAUACAAAUGUAGAAUUUUCAAAACAGAAUCCUACAUUUAAUUAGUAAAACCAUUUCGACAUAUGUACUUCAAUUCACAACAAGUAAAUUUAAGUUCAAUCUGAGCCAUGCUUUGGAAGAUGAAAUGGUUUACUGAGAGAAUUCAAUUAAAGUUACAAGUUUAAAGAGGAUACUGCUACAAAAAUACAUGGUGGUCUUACAUCAGUUUCAAUAGACAAAUUACAAGGAUUUUACUUGAUUUUUAAUUAUACUUGUUUCAUCACACAAACUAUGUAAAAUUAAUUUUCCUUUUGAAACUAAAAGGUUAACAUGUUAAUUUCAAAGUGUUUUCUAAACUAGUUUAGAUUUGGCAGUCAAAGUUUUAUUACUACAUUUUCAUAAAGAUCUUAUAAUGUAUUUUAAAAAUCUCUUUAUGCUUUAUUUUUUACUGUAAAAUUUGUGAUAUUUAAAUAAGUUGAGGUCUUUAUCUAGAAAACAUUCCAUUUUUCAAGUUACUGUAAAAAUAGAAAUUAUUGCACGCAUUUAUUAUUGCAAUUUGUUUAGAAUGUACAACAAUGGGAAAUAAGUUAUUGUGAUUUCAGGAAACUCUAUACAGAUACAUGUAUCAAAUUCAAAAUGAUAUUUAUUAUUGAAAUACUCAUUUGGUUACAUCAUUUGCAUAAAUAAAAACCUCGCAAUAAUUUCUGAAUUUAUUGGACCUUACAUGGGAGUUAUGAGAUGGGAGUCUCGCAUAAUUUUAAAAGGGGACUAUACAUGUACAUAAUCUAUCAGGAAAUUUAUUUAAAAUCAUUCUCAUUUUAUUAGCAGUUACUAUAGAUAACAUUUUAAAAGAAACAAACAAAUGUCAUGAAAGUAACAGCAAUAAUGCUUUUCCUACCUUAUCAGAAAAGAAAAUUACUUGGCAAUUUUGAAGCUAUGCUACACAAGGGGGACUCUAGUCAUAUUAGAUUCAAUUGGAAAGACCAUUAAAGAAGUUUAAAACAACAAACAAUAUGAUGUCAGUUUAACCUGACAAGCUACAAAAUACAUUUCAAAAAUUUAUUCUGACAACUAAAUGAGGUAUGCUGAUGGGUGUGUGUCCUAAAAGACUUGAUCUCUUGAGUUAAGAUACAGACUUAAACAUAUACAACCCCAUUAAAUACAAAAUUCCAAUACUACUGGCCAUUAAUUUAAAUCAAUCUCAUGUUUUAAUAAUUUUACAGUAUUCAAUGUAUAUACUGGGAUAUUCUAAAAUAUAAAACCAGAUGCUUGGCAGGACGCAGCUUAUACAACCGCAGAGGUCGAACCCUGAACAGUUGGGACAAGUAUGGACACAACAUUUAAGCUUAAUACAGCUCUGAAUUUGGAUUGUGAUUAAAUAGUUGACACAACAUAGGUUUCUGACACAGCAUGAAUGUGGUCUAAGAACUUAAACUUAAAGACUUAAAAAUUUUAAAUCGGACAUUUACCUAUUAUGGUCCAAUAUUCAAAAUCUAAAUACAUUGUUAGAUUCAGCAUAUCAUAGAACCCCAAGAAUUCAAUUUUUGAUGAAAUCAAAUAAUGUUCAAUUUUAGACCUUUAGACCUAAAUGUGGACCAAUUUGAUAAACAGGCCCAAAUAUUCAAAAUCUUAAUACAUGGUUAGAUUCAGCAUAUUGAAGAACCCCAUAUAUUCAAUUUUUGUUGAAAUCAAACAAAGUUUAUUUGACCUUUUGGACCUUAAUGUAGACCAAUUUGAAAACGGGACAAUACUGUGCAAUUGAAUAUUUCUUGCUAUUGCGCGAAACUGUGCAAUUGAAAAUUUGUCGCUAGUGAGCAAUAUUGUGCAAUUAGUUUUUCUUGCUAUUGCUCAAUACUGUGCAAUUGAAGAUUUCUUGCUAUUGCACAAUACUGAGCACUUGAAGAUUUCUUGCUAUUGUGCAAUACUGUGCAAUUGAAAAUUUAUUGCUAUUGUGCAAUACUGUGCAAUUGAAAAUUUCUUGCUGUUGCACAAUACUUAAUAUAAUAAUUUUGGACCCCGAUUUGGACCAACUUGAAAACUGGGC
This 2488-nucleotide long non-coding RNA is filed under the name Mytilus galloprovincialis (Mediterranean mussel). Lineage: Eukaryota; Metazoa; Mollusca; Bivalvia; Mytilida; Mytilidae. The record is from RNAcentral.